This is a long non-coding RNA of Haplochromis burtoni (Burton's mouthbrooder), 1924 nucleotides long. RefSeq lists it as uncharacterized. Lineage: Eukaryota; Metazoa; Chordata; Actinopteri; Cichliformes; Cichlidae. The transcript is spliced from 4 exons. The record is from RefSeq and is a predicted model, not a curated record.
CUUUUCCAGAUAUGGGAAGUUGUUUGCAUCGCAGGACGCAACUUUGAAGAACGGCACAUCCAGCUCAUGGAGAAACUCCACAGCCAUCUAUGAAUAUCAAGAGAAGAGCGCUCUCUGCGAGAUGACAUGCUGCACUGGCGCCUGGUAGUAAGAGGCCAAGACUCCAGACAGAAUCACCUGUGAAGGGUUGACUAUGUGGAGGAUGUUGAUGAUGCCCACACCCAGUGCAGUGGCGGCUAAAAAGGGUUAAUGACAGGUGUGCCAAAGGCCCCAGCCUCUCGUACCCCGCAGCUGCUGUUUCCAAUCAUGCAGCCAGCAUGUGACACAAGCUGGAUGAACUGCUCAAAAGGAAUGUGCUUCACUGCUCGGAAGUUUGGGUGUUGCUCAAUCCCCUUUCUUCGCAUAACACGUACCAUCUCCUUACUUCCUGUUUAUAGGAGAAAUGCUUAUGUUAUUUUUCUCAACUUUUGUUUGAGUGUCCAAACCUUAUUGAAAAGAGGACUUUAAAAACAGUAACCACAGGUGGAGCUAACCGGCAUCAAUGUUGGGAAAGAGGAUGAGAGUCUUCUUGUUGAAGGAAAUCAACGCAUCCAGCAUCAGCCCAUAGAUUUUAAUAGAGUGCUGGAUGUUCGUCGUGACCGGGUGCUGCAAUGCUACAAUAUAGUCACCUUCCUGGACUUUGUCAUCUGCAAGAUGCAAAUAUCACAUAAAAUACAAACGUAGACUUAUUUCUCAUUAAAUAAUUUUGUCCUGUGAAUAUAUUUCUGCAUACCCAACCAGCUUUUGAUGAUAUCCAUGUAGUCCUCUCUGUGAUGAGACAAUAGCAGCUUGUCAUAUGAAGGGCAGCCAGCAAGGAGGAUACGAGAGUGGUCCUCACACAUAGCUAUGAGGUGCUGCUCUGCCAUCCGUGUGCAGCAGGCGUGGUAAUGGGCCAGUUUACUGAUAGCAUGGCGGAUUGAGUCAUCAAUUGUACCACUAACCUGGAACAAGCAGCACAGGAUAGAGUUAAAAAAUAAUAAUAAUACUGAUGUAACCACCCCCAUCCUCCAGUAGCUAGUGUCCCCUAUGUUUUAAAUUCUAGGUGACUCCCUUCUUUUGUUAUCACAAGAUUUUCAGAAAACCUGACCUCUGAACUUGAUCUCAAGGUCAAGGUCACCAAAAUUCAAACUCCUCUGGCAUGUUUUUGAAGAUGCACCUAUUGUAUGAAUUAGAAAACUCUAGGUGACAACUUUUGAGAUACUGUUAUGACAUAGUUGGGUGUCCAAGCUGUCCACCCGCCCAGCCCAUCAGCCUUUUACAGCUGAGGGGUAAAACAAAAAGAAGAAAAGAUUCUGCACUGGCAGAAUGCAUAAAAAAAUCUAAGUACUUAUGAUGCAAUAUUGCCCCCAUAUUUUCAUUUUCUUUUCAUUGUGUGCUGCUUUCAAGAAAUGUAAUUGCCUCUAAUGAAGGAGAAACUGUUCAACUGGGUUUCCUCACCUCUCCUCCCUCCAGGUGAAGUAUUCUAAUAUUCAUUAAUGCUGCAGCAGUAGCCAAAGCGAGAGCAUCGAAACGAUCACCGUGUACGACCAGGAUGUCAGGUUUCAGUCUCUGUAUAACAUCAGGGAGUUUUACAAGUGCCAGCCCAACACUUUCCACCAUGGCAGCCUCGUCCUCUCCUCUCACAAUAGUGUGGAGCUUCGAGCCAAUGUCAAAGUCGUCCUGCUCAAUCAUCCGAAAAGUGUUCCUGCAAAAACAAAACAUUUCGGUCACCGAGCAAACAAAAUGUUGUUGGCUAUUUUGUGAGCAUCUUCUGAAGGUCCACAAGUGAAAAAGAAAAGAAAAAGUGGCAUUUGCAAAGGAAAAAAGUUGGGUCGUCUUACCCGUAGUCAUCAAUGAGAUGUGAACCAAGCACCACAACUUCCAGUUCAAAGUCUUCUGGGUGGGA